GACGAACGCUCCCUGCGUGCUUAACACAUGCAAGUCGAACGGAAAGGCCCUGCUUUUGUGGGGUGCUCGAGUGGCGAACGGGUGAGUAACACGUGAGUAACCUGCCCUUGACUUUGGGAUAACUUCAGGAAACUGGGGCUAAUACCGGAUAGGAGCUCCUGCCGCAUGGUGGGGGUUGGAAAGUUUCGGCGGUUGGGGAUGGACUCGCGGCUUAUCAGCUUGUUGGUGGGGUAGUGGCUUACCAAGGCUUUGACGGGUAGCCGGCCUGAGAGGGUGACCGGCCACAUUGGGACUGAGAUACGGCCCAGACUCCUACGGGAGGCAGCAGUGGGGAAUAUUGCACAAUGGGCGGAAGCCUGAUGCAGCAACGCCGCGUGCGGGAUGACGGCCUUCGGGUUGUAAACCGCUUUCGCCUGUGACGAAGCGUGAGUGACGGUAAUGGGUAAAGAAGCACCGGCUAACUACGUGCCAGCAGCCGCGGUGAUACGUAGGGUGCGAGCGUUGUCCGGAUUUAUUGGGCGUAAAGGGCUCGUAGGUGGUUGAUCGCGUCGGAAGUGUAAUCUUGGGGCUUAACCCUGAGCGUGCUUUCGAUACGGGUUGACUUGAGGAAGGUAGGGGAGAAUGGAAUUCCUGGUGGAGCGGUGGAAUGCGCAGAUAUCAGGAGGAACACCAGUGGCGAAGGCGGUUCUCUGGGCCUUUCCUGACGCUGAGGAGCGAAAGCGUGGGGAGCGAACAGGCUUAGAUACCCUGGUAGUCCACGCUGUAAACGGUGGGUACUAGGUGUGGGGUCCAUUCCACGGGUUCCGUGCCGUAGCUAACGCUUUAAGUACCCCGCCUGGGGAGUACGGCCGCAAGGCUAAAACUCAAAGGAAUUGACGGGGCCCCGCACAAGCGGCGGAGCAUGCGGAUUAAUUCGAUGCAACGCGUAGAACCUUACCUGGGUUUGACAUGGAUCGGGAGUGCUCAGAGAUGGGUGUGCCUCUUUUGGGGUCGGUUCACAGGUGGUGCAUGGCUGUCGUCAGCUCGUGUCGUGAGAUGUUGGGUUAAGUCCCGCAACGAGCGCAACCCUUGUUCACUGUUGCCAGCACGUUAUGGUGGGGACUCAGUGGAGACCGCCGGGGUCAACUCGGAGGAAGGUGGGGAUGACGUCAAGUCAUCAUGCCCCUUAUGUCCAGGGCUUCACGCAUGCUACAAUGGCUGGUACAGAGAGUGGCGAGCCUGUGAGGGUGAGCGAAUCUCGGAAAGCCGGUCUCAGUUCGGAUUGGGGUCUGCAACUCGACCUCAUGAAGUCGGAGUCGCUAGUAAUCGCAGAUCAGCAACGCUGCGGUGAAUACGUUCCCGGG
This 1343-nucleotide ribosomal RNA is filed under the name uncultured bacterium. RNAcentral describes it as "16S ribosomal RNA". It matches the Rfam family "Bacterial small subunit ribosomal RNA", at positions 28 to 1378 of the family's 1533-position model. The record is from RNAcentral.